This 993-nucleotide ribosomal RNA is filed under the name Escherichia coli. RNAcentral's name for it is "partial 23S ribosomal RNA". It matches the Rfam family "Bacterial large subunit ribosomal RNA", at positions 204 to 1238 of the family's 2925-position model. The record is from RNAcentral. Lineage: Bacteria; Pseudomonadati; Pseudomonadota; Gammaproteobacteria; Enterobacterales; Enterobacteriaceae.
AAGUACCCCGAGGAAAAGAAAUCAACCGAGAUUCCCCCAGUAGCGGCGAGCGAACGGGGAGGAGCCCAGAGCCUGAAUCAGUGUGUGUGUUAGUGGAAGCGUCUGGAAAGGCGCGCGAUACAGGGUGACAGCCCCGUACACAAAAAUGCACAUACUGUGAGCUCGAUGAGUAGGGCGGGACACGUGGUAUCCUGUCUGAAUAUGGGGGGACCAUCCUCCAAGGCUAAAUACUCCUGACUGACCGAUAGUGAACCAGUACCGUGAGGGAAAGGCGAAAAGAACCCCGGCGAGGGGAGUGAAAAAGAACCUGAAACCGUGUACGUACAAGCAGUGGGAGCCUCUUAAUGGGGUGACUGCGUACCUUUUGUAUAAUGGGUCAGCGACUUAUAUUCUGUAGCAAGGUUAACCGAAUAGGGGAGCCGAAGGGAAACCGAGUCUUAACUGGGCGUUAAGUUGCAGGGUAUAGACCCGAAACCCGGUGAUCUAGCCAUGGGCAGGUUGAAGGUUGGGUAACACUAACUGGAGGACCGAACCGACUAAUGUUGAAAAAUUAGCGGAUGACUUGUGGCUGGGGGUGAAAGGCCAAUCAAACCGGGAGAUAGCUGGUUCUCCCCGAAAGCUAUUUAGGUAGCGCCUCGUGAAUUCAUCUCCGGGGGUAGAGCACUGUUUCGGCAAGGGGGUCAUCCCGACUUACCAACCCGAUGCAAACUGCGAAUACCGGAGAAUGUUAUCACGGGAGACACACGGCGGGUGCUAACGUCCGUCGUGAAGAGGGAAACAACCCAGACCGCCAGCUAAGGUCCCAAAGUCAUGGUUAAGUGGGAAACGAUGUGGGAAGGCCCAGACAGCCAGGAUGUUGGCUUAGAAGCAGCCAUCAUUUAAAGAAAGCGUAAUAGCUCACUGGUCGAGUCGGCCUGCGCGGAAGAUGUAACGGGGCUAAACCAUGCACCGAAGCUGCGGCAGCGACACUAUGUGUUGUUGGGUAGGGGAGCG